GACUUUCAUGUGCGAAAGCAUGAUAAGGCCGACUCCGAGUGCCAGCAUCUAAUGCUGGCUGUCCUUGUGCCUAAAAAGCACAAGAUAGCAAGGGCCGGGUAAGACCGGUGCCAGCCGCCGCGGUAACACCGGCGGCCCGAGUGGUAGCCGCUAUUAUUGGGUCUAAAGGGUCCGUAGCCGGUUUGGUAAGUCCUUUGGGAAAUCUGGUUGCUUAACAAUCAGACUGCCAAGGGAUACUGCUGAACUUGAGACCGGGAGAGGUAAGAGGUACUUCAGGGGUAGGAGUGAAAUCUUGUGAUCCCUGGGGGACCAUCUGUGGCGAAGGCGUCUUACCAGAACGGGUCUGACGGUGAGGGACGAAAGCUGGGGGCGCAAACCGGAUUAGAUACCCGGGUAGUCCCAGCCGUAAACGAUGCUCGCUAUGUGUCAGGUACGGUGCGACCGUAUCUGGUGCCGUAGGGAAGCCGUGAAGCGAGCCACCUGGGAAGUACGGUCGCAAGACUGAAACUUAAAGGAAUUGGCGGGGGAGCACUACAACGGGUGGAGCCUGCGGUUUAAUUGGAUUUCAACGCCGGAA
RNAcentral lists this ribosomal RNA (577 nucleotides) under uncultured Methanosarcinales archaeon. Its description in RNAcentral is "bacterial SSU rRNA". It matches the Rfam family "Archaeal small subunit ribosomal RNA", at positions 343 to 923 of the family's 1478-position model. Lineage: Archaea; Methanobacteriati; Methanobacteriota; Methanomicrobia; Methanosarcinales. The record is from RNAcentral.